RNAcentral lists this long non-coding RNA (1586 nucleotides) under Brassica napus (rape). Its description in RNAcentral is "long non-coding RNA (BNAP_LNC010430)". The record is from RNAcentral. Lineage: Eukaryota; Viridiplantae; Streptophyta; Magnoliopsida; Brassicales; Brassicaceae.
UGUAUCUUGUGCAGAGAAUUCUCGAUGCUGGAAGAUUUUGAAGUUUCGCGCCGUCCAGAGAGCUGCAACUAUCCAGGGGACCAGGGGGGCAAUCCACAAGACCAAUUGGAGGGAGGGUGAUCACAUUGACAGUUCUCUCCCAUCCUUCAUUAAACGUGUUCAGAGACACACUGUAUGAGAAAGGUACCAAUCUCCAAACUUCUUGCGCAUAUGGGCAUUGAAAUAGGAGGUGUAGGAUUGACUCGGAACCCCCACUAUGAAUGCAGUUGGCAUUAGUUAGGACUUGUCGUGCCAUUAGAACUUCACCUACUGGUAAUACUCCAUGCUUGAUUUUCCAUAGAAGCAUUUUUAGUUUAGGAGCAGUAGGUAAUUUUCAAACUGAAUUUAGCCAAUCUUGAUGUGGGAAAUGCGCCUCCAGAGCAGUGGGAUUAAGUUUUCCCAAAGCAGCAUAGUAUCCUGUCUUAGCUGUGUAUGAUCCCGAGUCAUGUUUUAGCCAGAUGAGUUUAUCUUCUCCUCCUAGUUUACUAGGUUUUAUCGCCAUGAUGUUUCCCUGGAGGAUUGGGAACAUUUCUUCAAUCUUUUCUUUGUUCCAUUCUCUGGAGUUCUCUUUGAAGAGUUCUGCCACUUUCAUGUCUUCAGAGGCUUCCGUGGCCGGUCCCAUUGGGCGUUCCACUGUAGAAGAUGAUAGCCAUGGGACCUUCCAAGCUAGGACAUUUUCACCAUUCCCAAUAGCCCACCCUAGAUUAUCUCUGAUCAGAUCUCUGCCAAUCAUGAUUCCCCUCCAGCCAUGUGAGCAAGAAGCAGACGUAGCCACCUGGAGAAAGUCUUGGUUGUGGAAAUAUUUUCCUGCGUCAUUGAAGCUCUCGAUGUCUCGGAAUCCACAGCAGAGAGUCGUUCGUCGUUGUCGGCGGUGGAGAAUUUCGUGGCGGCGUAGCGUUGAGCCACGAGAGUCUUUGAUUCAAGAAGAUAGCAAAGGAGUCAAGCGCAGUGGAAGACCUCGUAUCCUUUCUCGUGCUUGAACUGAACAAACUCCUUUUUACUCUUAACUUCUUUUAUAAUCCGUCGAAAUCCCCCAAGGUCUGAUAACUCUUCCCACUCAGGUAAUUUUAAAUUAUGUUAAUGUGGCUUUUUGGAUUUAGUUUGAUGAAUUUUCUUUUGUUGUCUGUGUGGAUCAGAAGCAACAUGAAAUGGAUUGAAGACAGCGCUUACUACCAGAGCAUUGAAAAAAGAUCCAAACUUUUACACCUAUUGACUCGUACAAUUAGUUUUAGAAAUAUGGAGUGGUAUUCGUAUUAAGAGAGAUACUAGAAUAGGGAACAGGGGCAUCCCACGUAACAAGAAAGUUUGCUUACAGAACAACAAAACCAGAGAUGCAUCUUUCUCUUUAUUUUGUUUUGUUUCAGGCCUCAAUGCGUGGGAAAAGCAGGGAGACGAAAGCAAACAUGAGGAUCAAAUUAAAAUUAUUAAAAUAAUACUAGGUUUGUUAAGUAUUAUUAAGUCAAACAAAUGCCUGAAAGGAAUAAACAAUAUUAGUUUAAGAAAAAUAAUUUAUAUAAAUAAUUUAUUUUAAUUUGUUAGUUAUUCUU